UACGGAGGAUGCAAGCGUUAUCCGGAAUGAUUGGGCGUAAAGCGUCCGCAGGUGGCAAUGUAAGUCUGCUGUCAAAGCGUCUGGCUCAACCAGAUAAAGGCAGUGGAAACUACAUAGCUAGAGUAAGGUAGGGGUAGAGGGAAUUCCUGGUGUAGCGGUGAAAUGCGUAGAGAUCAGGAAGAACACCGGUGGCGAAAGCGCUCUGCUGGACCUUAACUGACACUGAGGGACGAAAGCUAGGGGAGCGAAUUGG
Molecule: ribosomal RNA, 253 nt
Filed under: uncultured bacterium
Lineage: Bacteria
Description: partial 16S ribosomal RNA
Rfam family: Bacterial small subunit ribosomal RNA
Source: RNAcentral